UUCAACAUCAAGGGAUUGAGUGGCAUCAUUGCCAUAGGAAGACUGGUAACUCAGGAUGAGUUUUAUAGUCACUGCCCCCGCAACGGUACGCGCAUCAUGGAAGAAUCAAUAACUUGCCACUGGCACACUGGCUGGGAAGGCUGUUUGUAGCGCUAAGUCCGAAGACUGACUCAAUCCCACAUACUCACG
Molecule: non-coding RNA, 189 nt
Filed under: Vibrio tapetis subsp. tapetis
Lineage: Bacteria; Pseudomonadati; Pseudomonadota; Gammaproteobacteria; Vibrionales; Vibrionaceae
Source: RNAcentral